UACGGGGGGGGCAAGCGUUGUUCGGAAUUACUGGGCGUAAAGGGCUUGUAGGUGGCCAACUAAGUCAGACGUGAAAUCCCUCGGCUUAACCGGGGAACUGCAUUGGUGACUGCAAGGCUUGAGUGUGUCAGAGGGAGGUGGAAUUCCGCGUGUAGCAGUGAAAUGCGUAGAUAUGCGGAGGAACACCGAUGGCGAAGGCAGCCUCCUGGGAUAACACUGACGCUCAUGCACGAAAGCGUGGGGAGCAAACAGG
This 253-nucleotide ribosomal RNA is filed under the name uncultured bacterium. RNAcentral's name for it is "partial 16S ribosomal RNA". It matches the Rfam family "Bacterial small subunit ribosomal RNA", at positions 524 to 776 of the family's 1533-position model. The record is from RNAcentral.